UGGGGAAUCUUGCGCAAUGGGGGAAACCCUGACGCAGCAACGCCGCGUGGGUGAUGAAGGCCUUCGGGUCGUAAAGCCCUGUCAGGUGGGAAGAACCGUAUCGGUACAAACAGUGCCGAUGCUUGACGGUACCACUGGAGGAAGCGCCGGCUAACUCCGUGCCAGCAGCCGCGGUAAUACGGAGGGUGCAAGCGUUGUUCGGAAUUACUGGGCGUAAAGCGCGUGCAGGCGGUUGAGCAAGUCAGAUGUGAAAGCCUUCCGCUUAACGGAAGAAGUGCAUUUGAAACUACUCGGCUAGAGUUCGAGAGAGGAGAGUGGAAUUCCCGGUGUAGAGGUGAAAUUCGUAGAUAUCGGGAGGAACACCGGUGGCGAAGGCGGCUCUCUGGCUCGAUACUGACGCUGAGACGCGAAAGCGUGGGGAGCAAACAGGAUUAGAUACCCUGGUAGUCCACGCCGUAAACGAUGGGCACUAGGUGUAGGAGGUAUUGACCCCUUCUGUGCCGAAGCUAACGCAUUAAGUGCCCCGCCUGGGGAGUACGGCCGCAAGGCUA
Molecule: ribosomal RNA, 551 nt
Filed under: uncultured bacterium
Lineage: Bacteria
Description: bacterial SSU rRNA
Rfam family: Bacterial small subunit ribosomal RNA
Source: RNAcentral